CUUUUUGGAGAGUUUGAUCCUGGCUCAGGACGAACGCUGGCGGCGUGCCUAAUACAUGCAAGUCGAGCGGACUUGACGGAGCUUGCUCCGUUCAAGUUAGCGGCGGACGGGUGAGUAACACGUGGGCAACCUGCCCUGCAGAUUGGGAUAACUCCGGGAAACCGGGGCUAAUACCGAAUAAUAUCGAAGAUUUCAUGAUCUUCUUUUGAAAGAUGG
RNAcentral lists this ribosomal RNA (216 nucleotides) under Domibacillus aminovorans. RNAcentral describes it as "partial 16S ribosomal RNA". It matches the Rfam family "Bacterial small subunit ribosomal RNA", at positions 1 to 211 of the family's 1533-position model. The record is from RNAcentral. Lineage: Bacteria; Bacillati; Bacillota; Bacilli; Caryophanales; Bacillaceae.